CCUACGGGCGGCAGCAGUGGGGAAUAUUGGACAAUGGGCGAAAGCCUGAUCCAGCCAUGCCGCGUGUGUGAAGAAGGCCUUCGGGUUGUAAAGCACUUUCAGUGGGGAAGAAAGCCUUGGGGCUAAUACCCUCGAGGAAGGACAUCACCCACAGAAGAAGCACCGGCUAACUCCGUGCUAGCAGCCGCGGUAAUACGGAGGGUGCGAGCGUUAAUCGGAAUUACUGGGCGUAAAGCGCGCGUAGGCGGUCUGAUAAGCCGGUUGUGAAAGCCCCGGGCUCAACCUGGGAACGGCAUCCGGAACUGUCAGGCUAGAGUGCAGGAGAGGAAGGUAGAAUUCCCGGUGUAGCGGUGAAAUGCGUAGAGAUCGGGAGGAAUACCAGUGGCGAAGGCGGCCUUCUGGACUGACACUGACGCUGAGGUGCGAAAGCGUGGGUAGCAAACAGGAUUAGAUACCCGUGUAGUC
Molecule: ribosomal RNA, 465 nt
Filed under: Vreelandella stevensii
Lineage: Bacteria; Pseudomonadati; Pseudomonadota; Gammaproteobacteria; Oceanospirillales; Halomonadaceae
Description: partial 16S ribosomal RNA
Rfam family: Bacterial small subunit ribosomal RNA
Source: RNAcentral